GCCUUUUUAGUAUAAAAGUACAUUUGGCUUCCAACCAGAAAGUCUAGAUUAUUAUCUAGAAAAGGCA
RNAcentral lists this transfer RNA (67 nucleotides) under Gordonella aff. paravillosa ZS-2018. Its description in RNAcentral is "tRNA-Gly". It matches the Rfam family "tRNA". Rfam says of the family: Transfer RNA (tRNA) molecules are approximately 80 nucleotides in length. Lineage: Eukaryota; Metazoa; Arthropoda; Malacostraca; Decapoda; Solenoceridae. The record is from RNAcentral.